UACGUAGGUGGCAAGCGUUGUCCGGAAUUAUUGGGCGUAAAGCGCGCGCAGGCGGUCUCUUAAGUCUGAUGUGAAAGCCCCCGGCUCAACCGGGGAGGGUCAUUGGAAACUGGGAGACUUGAGGACAGAAGAGGAGAGUGGAAUUCCAAGUGUAGCGGUGAAAUGCGUAGAUAUUUGGAGGAACACCAGUGGCGAAGGCGGCUCUCUGGUCUGUUACUGACGCUGAGGCGCGAAAGCGUGGGGAGCAAACAGGAUUAGAUACCCGCGUAGUCC
This 273-nucleotide ribosomal RNA is filed under the name uncultured bacterium. RNAcentral's name for it is "partial 16S ribosomal RNA". It matches the Rfam family "Bacterial small subunit ribosomal RNA", at positions 524 to 796 of the family's 1533-position model. The record is from RNAcentral.